AUUUAUGUAGUUUAAAAUAAAACAUUACAUUUUCACUGUAAAGAUAUUUUAUCAAUCAUAAAUU
This 64-nucleotide transfer RNA is filed under the name Phoetalia pallida. RNAcentral's name for it is "tRNA-Glu". It matches the Rfam family "tRNA". Rfam says of the family: Transfer RNA (tRNA) molecules are approximately 80 nucleotides in length. Lineage: Eukaryota; Metazoa; Arthropoda; Insecta; Blattodea; Blaberidae. The record is from RNAcentral.